UUUGUGCCUUUGCCCAAAUUAUCAUGUGGCACAAACAAGGCAGCUGCUUCUGAAGAUGGUGAUGCAAUGCUUGGAAUGUCGCAGAACAAGGAGAGGGUCUCUUCUUAUCAGCAAUGCCUUGUGCUGCCAAGAUGAAGAUAUCGCAUUAAAACCAGGAGCUAACUCUCCCUCCCCUUUGAGAGUCCACUUCAAAGAACGAGUGACUUUGCAUGGCAGUUCUCAAAAAGUGGGAUCCUGCUUCUGGGUUCCAGGGAAUUGUGUGUGUGCAGCUCCAUGUGGCCUCAGCACAUCAGUUUUGUUCUCUGGAUAUGGAUGACUCAGGAUGGCCUGCUAUUUGAACUGUGGGCUUAUUAUUUAAGGUAUAUUGAAUAUAUACGUGACAAAGACAGAGACAGAAGCAGAGAAAGAGAUAGAGACAGAUAUGCAGUGCUGGGGAUUUUGCACAUGCUAGGUAAGUUCUCUACCACUGAGCUACAUACCCACUGCACUUGUAAUUCAGUUUUGACAUUAAGGCAGUAUUUCAGAAUAAAAUAUACACAUUAAAAGAAAAAUGAAGCCAGAAACCUGAAACUCAACACUGGUUUCCAAGCAAACCCGUAUUAGAAUCUAUAUUAAGUGUUAGGUCAUUAUAUACUACUGUUCUUCAUGUGAUAUGUUUUACUCAAAAUACAUUAUGUACCAGAUGCACUGAAAUUGACUUGGUAUUUUAUUAAGUACGUUUUGCUUGCUAUUAACUAUGGUGAUGCUUGCUAUGCACUCCUCAGUUAUGGCAUCAAAAUACUGCAGACAUACUAAUGUGAGUGGAAACAAAUAUGCAUCUGAGUGUCAGCAAUAGACCCUCUGGAGAGAGUCACUUGACAAUUUUUUUAGUGGUGUUAACAUUUAUUGUGAUCUUCUAUCAUAGUUUAUAUUUUCCCUGGAACAGACUCUGAGCUAAGGAUUUGGGCACAAGUGGUUUAUUAAGGAAGAUCUCCUGGGAAAACUGGUAAAGAGCUGAGAGAGUCAGGACAGAGAAGAGGAACAAGCCAAGCUAGUGCUUGCUACUGUUUUACACACAGCUCAAGACCUGGCAGGACUCAAGUGUGUAUAGCCCCAGGCUCUUCAAGUUCUCCCAGUAGAUGAGGCAGGUCCAUUGUAUAGGGCAAUCAACCAAAGAAUAAGAAACAGAAUCUAGGAGGCUGACACACAGAUGGCCAGUGACAUUCAAGGGGAACUGAGUGGGACACCAAGCUAUGUGUUAUAUGAUUUACUUCUCAUCCUUUCCUCUACAGUAAUAACAAAAACCUUAUCAGUGUAAUUUUACUAGGAUACCAGACAGCAGAAACUCAGAAAAUAUGGCUGGGUCAGCCAUGAUACAGUAAACUAAUCCAGAAGUGAAGCAGAUCUGUAAUGUAUUACAGAUUGUCAUGUCAGGGUAUUUCUUAUAAUUAAAUUAGAAUCUAUGGCUCUGAACACCAGAAAAAUAAUAAAUCUGUCAAAAAGUGGUAGCGAAAGAUUGAGUCUAACAGGGAGAUCAGAUUUCUAGUGGUGAUGUUUCUGACCUCAGUCUUUUCGGUAGAUGUUGAAUUAUUUGAAGAACCAAAAGGCAUCUGAAGUUUAUAAGACUGACUUCAACAUAAUUCUUCUAUUUCCUCCCCCAUUUCUUUUCAGAAAAUGCCCACUUGUGUCAGUUGAAGCUGUACAGUUUAAAUUGCAAACAGGAUAUUGGAUAAGUUAGUUCACUUCUCUUAACCUUGAUGUUUUUGUUGCAAGCCAGCAAAGAGAUAUUGCAACUUAAUUUAUAGUUUCUGUUAGGAUUGGAUGAAUAAAGAAAGUAUUAAAAAGGAUAUGGCUUACCAUAGCUGCUCAUGAAAAUACUGAUUAGUAAUAUUAGUAAAAGUGUCAAAAAGUGAAAUCUAUGUGGCCACUUGCUGAACUACCAUUGUUGGAUAAUAAAGUCCACCAGCAAUUGACAAUGUGAAGCAAUCAUUUUAUCAUGCUCACAAAUUCCGUAGGUCAAGAAUCGAGACAGCACAAUAGGAAUGGGAUUCCUUAUGCUCCACAUUACUGGUGCCUCAGGUAGAAACACUAGAUUAUUGGCAGAACUCAAACACGGGAGCUGGAAUUCUCCAGGUAACUUCACUUGCUCUUGUAACAGACACUGCCUGUCUCGUGGAGGUCUGUUGGGGCUGCCAUCUGGAAUAAAUCACACAACCUCUUCAUGUGGUCUGUGCUUCCUCACAGCAUGGUAGGUUCAAGACAGCCAGGCUUCCAACAUGGCAGCUCAGGGCUCACAGGAAUGUAUCUCAGGCAGAAGCCUGGCUUUCUAUUUCAUGCUACGGUGACUGUAGUUAGUAGUAAUGUAAAACACAGUAUAUUUUAAGCUAACUAGGAAAGAAAAUUCUGCAUAUUCUUACCACAAAAAUGAAUGCUCAAGGUGACAGAUAUAUUCCAGUUACCCUGAUUUGAUCGCUACAAAAUGUGUACAUGUAUUAAAAUAUACAUUAAAUCUCAUAAAUAUGUACAAUCAUCAUUUGAUAAUUAUAAAUAAAAUAACAGCAAUAAGGCAUAAAAAUCUCUGAAGUACAUCCUCUUUUCUGACCCAAUCACAUAAAGGCCCUUAUAGCUCACACUGUUAUGGAUAAAUUGUGUCCCAAAUGGAAAGGAACUCAAGCCCUGCCUCUCAGUGGAUACAUGUCAGAUCAUAUAAAGCCGUUGUUCCUCAACCAAUAUAACCACAGUAAACUAAAUGCUAGUUAUUUUUCACUAAAACUUAAGGCUAUAUCACCUUUUCUAAUAAGCCAAAGCAAUCAAGGGGACUCCACAACACACAGCCCAGCAUCCUGGAAGACACCUCCACUUUUGCUGACUUCUCUCAGUCUGAAACACACUCAGUCACAGGGCAUUUUACUUACUGAUAGAGUCUUGCUGAACAUAUAGAAUUUCUGCUUCUCCCAAUGAUUUACAGCAGGACAAAACUCCAUAAUACACAGCAGCUCUAAGUGAAAGAUGUGCUUUAAUAAUUUCACUUCCCUGGAAGAUUUUGUGUGAGUGUGUGUGUGUGUGUGUGUGUGUGUGUGUGUGUGUGUGUGUAAAAGAAUACAAAGUUCACUAUUUUUUGCAGAAAAAUACUUUCUAAUGCCAUAUAAAUCAUUGUACAUUGAAAGAUGCAUGCAUAUCCAAUAGAUUUUUAAAAUUGUGAGCAUGAUUAAAGGAAGCUAUAUUGGAUUCUUCAUUGUAGGACAUUUCAGAAUCUUUACUUUGGUAAUGGAAACUGUGAAAUCUCGUGGAUAUAAUCAGCAGCUUAUUCUGAAUGUAGGUAAUAAGAGGCAGAGACAUUGCUUAAUAGAACAAGGUUUGUGAAAUGCCAGGUGAACACAGUGAUACAGAUCAUGAAGAUGACUGAAGAGAAGGGGGAGUCUUUCCAAGUGCAGAGCACUUGUGUCUGCCACUCUUGCACAUUUCUAAUGAGAUCAGGCCUACUAAUUAUGUAACAGGUUACCUGAUUGGUAAAGCUCAUUUAAAGCAAAGCUUGCUCUUUUAUUUUAACUGUGUGUGUGUGUGUGUGUGUGUGUGUGUGUGUUUCAGUAGUUUUCCUGAGAAAUCUGCAGGAUCUACCGUACAAAGAGAUAAAACUCCAUUUGAUGUCAUUCAGUUCCCCACUAUUUUUAUCCCAUAUUAAGUUCAUUUUUAUGUUCUCUGAGUCCCAUUUCCUUUCAUUCAUGCUCUGUUCAAUAUACUAAUAAAAAUGAACAAUGUGCUAAUUAAGAUAGUAGAACAUUUAAAGAACAAUUGGAACCCCACAUACCAAGUGAUACAGGUCACUAUAUUAAUCAUUGACAAUCAUACUAAUUAUCAAACAACAGUGGAAUUCCUAGGAAAAUAUUAUUUUUAAGCUCAUAAUUUUAUAAAAAUACUAUAAAAAUACAAAAUUUGAAAACAGCCUAAAAAUCUCAGACUUGUUUUCUCUUUUCCAUAGUUAUGUGUUUAUUUAAUUGUUUGUGUGUAUGUGUUUAUACAUGUGGUAGCACAAACUGAGAGAAAAAAAGUUAUUCAAUUAAACAUUAGUCUAAUUAUACUGCUCUGAAGCUUGAAAGGAUCUGUGGUAGGUUGAAAAUCCCCUAAGCCUCCACCUCCCUCUAAUUAUACUUUGCGUUAGGUAAGUGUUUAGAGUCCUCCUGCUUCAAAUCUAGAAAGUGUCACGUAGCUUCAUUUAACCAGUAAAUACUGACAUGCAUGCACAAGAUGCUGGAAAGACGGGAAAAUGCUGGGCUUGCUCUUCUCGCCUCGUAUGUCUAUUACCCUCCCCGAGAACAUGCCAAGGUUCUUCUGCAGGUUGAAGUGAGAGAGAGAAACUGGAAGAGAGACUGUGUGUCACCUCUGUGCCUUCAGACAAAACCAAGGCUGGCGGUCAACUGAUCCCUAGACAUGAAUGAGCCUACCUAAUAGCAGCUCAUGCCCAGAUGCCUUACAUAUGUGAAGAGUGCAUGCCACUGUGGCUUUGCAUCAUCAGUACUGACGUUCUGCAAAAGAAAACUGAAACAGGAUCCUUCACAAAGCUUUGACCAGGCCCAUUACUUUCAGCUGAUGAAAUAAAUUCUCCUUAUGAGCUCUGGAUUCAGACAUCAGUUCUUUGUCUAAGUAGCAGCAUGGCAAGAAAUGCAUCGCAAUCUCUAUGAGUUUUUACACUUAUCUUUGGAAAACCCAGAUUACCUUCCACAUUUAUUUAUGAUUAAUAUAUUAAAAUAUCAUAUAUAAAAUUUUUAUUAAAAUAGAAAAUUCUGACCAGCUUGAAAACUUGUAUAAAACGUUGGUUGGAAAUGCUAUAGAUUAGAAAUCUGUGAGGGGGAGAAAUUUAAUGCUUGGCACAUCGCACUUGUUCAGCAAAGAAUAAAUGCUGGUAAGACAAGGACUAUGGUAAAUACCUCCAGAUUAGGAAUGGAUUAAAAAAUAUGGUUUUUAGCCAUAAGGAGGGUAUGCUUGAGACAUUUCUAGGCAACGAGAUGCACCUUGAGAUCAUACUCUUAGGUGAAAUAAAUCAGUCAUGCUUGUGUAAAUAUCACAUUGUUUCUCUGGUGUAAGAAACCAAAAGUGUCAAUAAGAACAAAAGUGUACAAUAUGUUUUAUUAUGCAGAAAGAAAUUGUUCGAAAGAGGAAGUAGGGGGGCCUGGGAAAAGAAGGAAAGAAAAAGGAAAAAAGCCAUAAAAGACGAAUAAAAUGUAAACAGGACUUUGUAAAUGAGAGGGUAAGAGAGGUUGAAGGGAGGGGAGGGAACCUAGAAAAAAGAGAAAUCAAGAUAUAUGCAGGUACAAAUUCCUUAGGAUGAGUAUGAUCAUUAUGUUUAUCUAAAUUAUACCAAUAAACUUAAAGAAAUGUGAAUAUUAAUAAAGCAUUAGAUCUGCAAAGAAAAAAAAUUGAGAGAUCAAAUCUAUGUAACAUUUAUUUCAGUAUAAUUAUCUUUUACUAUUCAUAAAUACUCAUAUUGCAAGUCAUACUGUAAGUUACUGUGCAUUGUAAGUUACAGUGCAUUGUAGAUAUGUAUUAUAGAAAAAUAAAACAUUGUACAGAAAUGGCAUUUGCUGGCUCCAGUUCUCACUUGUCUCCCACAGAUUCAGGAUCUAGCAUAUGACCCUCUCCUAGCAUCUGAUACCCAGGGAUAUAAUAGCUUACCAUUAUAUAUGUCUUAUUCCUGUAUGAAUUUUCACUCCACAUUAAAAAAUAAUCGAUGAUUUCAGUUUUCCAAGCAUUUAAAAUUCAUAUGUAUGAUCAUAUGAAAUUAUUUUUUCUGUGGCAUUUGAAAUAAAAAUGAAAUCCUGAUUUUAAACUCUU
This is a long non-coding RNA of Cavia porcellus (domestic guinea pig), 5808 nucleotides long. RefSeq lists it as uncharacterized. The record is from RefSeq and is a predicted model, not a curated record. The transcript has 3 exons. NCBI's taxonomy places the organism in Eukaryota, Metazoa, Chordata, Mammalia, Rodentia, Caviidae.